Populus tomentosa is the source of this 78-nucleotide non-coding RNA. NCBI's taxonomy places the organism in Eukaryota, Viridiplantae, Streptophyta, Magnoliopsida, Malpighiales, Salicaceae. The record is from the annotation of a GenBank genome assembly.
GGAGAGAUGGCCGAGUUGUUUAAGGCGUAGCAUUGGAAAGGCUAUUGUUUACCGAGGGUUCGAAUCCCUCUCCUUCCA